This 503-nucleotide ribosomal RNA is filed under the name uncultured Achromobacter sp. RNAcentral's name for it is "bacterial SSU rRNA". It matches the Rfam family "Bacterial small subunit ribosomal RNA", at positions 1 to 495 of the family's 1533-position model. The record is from RNAcentral. Lineage: Bacteria; Pseudomonadati; Pseudomonadota; Betaproteobacteria; Burkholderiales; Alcaligenaceae.
UAGCGCUAGAGUUUGGUCCUGGCUCAGAUUGAACGCUAGCGGGAUGCCUUACACAUGCAAGUCGAACGGCAGCACGGACUUCGGUCUGGUGGCGAGUGGCGAACGGGUGAGUAAUGUAUCGGAACGUGCCCAGUAGCGGGGGAUAACUACGCGAAAGCGUAGCUAAUACCGCAUACGCCCUACGGGGGAAAGCAGGGGAUCGCAAGACCUUGCACUAUUGGAGCGGCCGAUAUCGGAUUAGCUAGUUGGUGGGGUAACGGCUCACCAAGGCGACGAUCCGUAGCUGGUUUGAGAGGACGACCAGCCACACUGGGACUGAGACACGGCCCAGACUCCUACGGGAGGCAGCAGUGGGGAAUUUUGGACAAUGGGGGAAACCCUGAUCCAGCCAUCCCGCGUGUGCGAUGAAGGCCUUCGGGUUGUAAAGCACUUUUGGCAGGAAAGAAACGUCAUGGGUUAAUACCCCGUUGAAAUAUGAACGGUACCUGCAGAUAUAAGCAUCG